UGGCCUCAGAUCAGGGAGGAUCACCCGCCGAA
Molecule: ribosomal RNA, 32 nt
Filed under: Plebejus argyrognomon (northern blue)
Lineage: Eukaryota; Metazoa; Arthropoda; Insecta; Lepidoptera; Lycaenidae
Also listed under: 1 other name
Description: partial 28S ribosomal RNA
Source: RNAcentral